CCCCCACUCUUUUUUUCACAAUCGCACAGAAAGUGGGAUAAGGUUACCCGGAGUGCCGAGAGAAAAUUUUUCGGCUGUUGUGGGUGUGUAAAUAACCCCACCAGAAAGGAGAGGGCAAGGCUGGUGCCAGCCGCCGCGGUAAACCAGCUCUUCAAGCGGUCGGGAAUUUUAUUGGGUUUAAAGGGUCCGUAGCCGGUUUGAUAAGUUCCUGGUUAAAUCUGGCAGCUUAACUGUCAGUUGGCUAGGAAUACUAUCUUACUAGAGGGGGGGAAAGGUUUGGGGUACUCCAGGGGUAGCGGUGAAAGGCUAUAAUCCUUGGGGGACCACCAGUGGCAAAGGCGGCGGACUAGAACACGCCUGACGGUGGGGGACGAAAGCCAGGGAAGCGAACGGGAUUAGAUACCCCGGAAGUCUUGGGUGGAGACGAUGCGGGCUAGGUGUUGGAAGGGCUAGAAGCCGUAUCAGUGCCGAAGGGAAACUGUUAAGCGCGCCCGCCUGGAAAGUACGCUCCGCAAGGGGGAAAACUUAAAAGAAUUUGGCGGGGGAAAAGGGCGAAUUCCUUUUAAAACCUGCAGGACUAGUCCCUUUUAGUGAGGGUUAAUUCUGAAGCUUGGGGGAAAUCCUGGCCAUAGCUUGUUUCCCGGA
RNAcentral lists this ribosomal RNA (645 nucleotides) under uncultured archaeon. RNAcentral describes it as "partial 16S ribosomal RNA". It matches the Rfam family "Archaeal small subunit ribosomal RNA", at positions 336 to 1478 of the family's 1478-position model. The record is from RNAcentral.